Mastomys coucha (southern multimammate mouse) is the source of this 137-nucleotide small nuclear RNA. RefSeq annotates it as U4 spliceosomal RNA. The record is from RefSeq and is a predicted model, not a curated record. The transcript has a single exon. Lineage: Eukaryota; Metazoa; Chordata; Mammalia; Rodentia; Muridae.
AACCCUGUCUUGAAAAAUCAUAGCCAGUGAGGUUUAUCCACGGUGUGAUUAUUGCUAAUUGAAAACUUUCCCAAUACCCCACCAUGAUGAUUUGCAAUAUAGUCUGCACUGGCCCUGUUUGACAGUCUCUGUAGAGA